CAGUCGCCGCGGUAAUACGUAUGUCACGAGCGUUACCCGGAUUUAUUGGGCGUAAAGCGCGUCUAGGUGGUUAUGUAAGUCUGAUGUGAAAGCCCCCGGCUCAACCGGGGAGGGUCAUUGGAAACUGGGAAACUUGAGUGCAGAAGAGGAGAGUGGAAUUCCACGUGUAGCGGUGAAAUGCGUAGGUAUAUGGAGGAACACCGGUGGCGAAAGCGGCUCUCUGGCUUGUAACUGACGCUGAGGCUCGAAAGCGUGGGGGGCAAACAGGAUUAGAUACCCGAGUAGUCCCUGUCUCUUAUAC
Molecule: ribosomal RNA, 301 nt
Filed under: uncultured bacterium
Lineage: Bacteria
Description: partial 16S ribosomal RNA
Rfam family: Bacterial small subunit ribosomal RNA
Source: RNAcentral